GCCCCCGUAGCUCAGCUGGAUAGAGCAACGGAUUCCUAAUCCGUAGGCCAGGCGUUCGAAUCGCCUCGGGGGCACCA
This 77-nucleotide transfer RNA is filed under the name Nitrospina sp. RNAcentral's name for it is "tRNA-Arg". It matches the Rfam family "tRNA". Rfam says of the family: Transfer RNA (tRNA) molecules are approximately 80 nucleotides in length. Their secondary structure includes four short double-helical elements and three loops (D, anti-codon, and T loops). RNAcentral also lists the same sequence under 1 other name. Lineage: Bacteria; Pseudomonadati; Nitrospinota; Nitrospinia; Nitrospinales; Nitrospinaceae. The record is from RNAcentral.